This 914-nucleotide ribosomal RNA is filed under the name uncultured archaeon. RNAcentral's name for it is "bacterial SSU rRNA". It matches the Rfam family "Archaeal small subunit ribosomal RNA", at positions 4 to 922 of the family's 1478-position model. The record is from RNAcentral.
CUGGUUGAUCCUGCCGGCGGGCACCGCUAUCGGAAUGCGACUAAGGCAUGCGAGUCGAGAGGUGUAAGACCUCGGCAGACGGCUGAGUAACACGCGGAUAACCUGCCCUUGGGUCCGGGAUAACCCCGGGAAACUGGGACUAAUACCGGAUAGAUCAAGGAUACUGGAAUGUUCUCUGGUCCAAAACUCCGGUGCCCAAGGAUGGGUCUGCGGCCUAUCAGGUAGUAGUGGGUGUAACGUACCUACUAGCCUACGACGGGUAAGGGUUGUGAGAGCAAGAGCCCUGAGAUGGAUUCUGAGACAUGAAUCCAGGCCCUACGGGGUGCAGCAGGCGCGAAAACUUUACACUGCGGGAAACCGCGAUAAGGGGACCCCGAGUGCCAGUACCUAGUGCUGGCUGUCCCGCUGUCCAAACAACAGUGGUUAGCAAGGGCCGGGCAAGACCGGUGCCAGCCGCCGCGGUAACACCGGCGGCCCGAGUGGUAGCCGUUAUUAUUGGGUUUAAAGGGUCCGUAGCCGGCUUAUUAAGUCUCUUGGGAAAUCUGGCGGCUUAAUCGUCAGGCGUCCAAGAGAUACUGAUAGGCUUGGGACCGGGAGAGGUGGGAGGUACUCCAGGGGUAGGGGUGAAAUCUCGUAAUCCUUGGGGGACCACCGAUGGCGAAGGCAUCCCACCAGAACGGGUCCGACGGUGAGGGACGAAAGCUGGGGGCACGAACCGGAUUAGAUACCCGGGUAGUCCCAGCUGUAAACGAUGCUCGCUAGGUGUCAGGUGCGGUGCGACCGCAUCUGGUGCCGUAGUGAAAACUUGAAGCGAGUCACCUGGGAAGUACGGUCGCAAGGCUGAAACUUAAAGGAAUUGGCGGGGGAGCACUACAACGGGUGGAGCCUGCGGUUCAAUUGGAUUCAACGCCGGG